This 328-nucleotide long non-coding RNA is filed under the name Ananas comosus (pineapple). RNAcentral describes it as "long non-coding RNA (ACOM_LNC030277)". The record is from RNAcentral. Lineage: Eukaryota; Viridiplantae; Streptophyta; Magnoliopsida; Poales; Bromeliaceae.
AUGAUAACCAAAGCAACCGACAUAUAGAGACUACAAUGCUGAUAUGACAGAACAGAGAAAAGUGAAACGACCUCACCGACUACCAGCUUGAAGCACCCACCUGUCACAAAUGCGCCGGAAACCUAAGUACGUAACGAGUCAACCGGACCUACGAAGAUCCACCGGGUCAGUAUCCAACCCACCAAACCAAAAUACCGAAAUCACAAACCCCACACAAAUCCCCAAAAUCGGUUUCCUUAAACCGAUCACCAUAACUCGCCGGAAGUCCCGAAAAUCACACUGGGAUGCUGUCGGGACCCACUAAGUGUCCCGAAACUCACUGACUCGU